Molecule: long non-coding RNA, 354 nt
Filed under: Nicotiana tabacum (common tobacco)
Lineage: Eukaryota; Viridiplantae; Streptophyta; Magnoliopsida; Solanales; Solanaceae
Description: long non-coding RNA (NTAB_LNC004320)
Source: RNAcentral
CAGGUGUCACCCAACGGAGAAGGUACUUGAGUACAAGAAACAGUUUGGCAAUAAGGAAUUCACUCGAAAGGUAAGUUUCCAAGAAAUUCCCUUUUAUCUUCUACUAAAACAAGAAAAUUCAAAAAAAGAGGUCAGUUGGUAUCCUCGAACUUUGUCCCCAGCCAGUCAGCAUUAGGGUUUUAAACCUUAAACUGAACUCUUUCCUUUAGUCAGCAUUAGGGUUUAAACCCUAAACUGAACUUUUCCAUUCAGUCAGCAUUAGGGUUUUAAACCCUAAACUGAACUUUUUCUUUAGUCAGCAUUAGGGUUUUAAACCCUAAACUGAACUCUUUCCUUUAGUCACCAUUAGGGUUU